RNAcentral lists this ribosomal RNA (458 nucleotides) under bacterium enrichment culture clone OZDCA158. RNAcentral describes it as "bacterial SSU rRNA". It matches the Rfam family "Bacterial small subunit ribosomal RNA", at positions 9 to 514 of the family's 1533-position model. The record is from RNAcentral.
GAGUUUGAUCGUGGCUCAGAUUGAACGCUGGCGGCAUGCCUUACACAUGCAAGUCGAACGGCAGCAAUGGCAGUGGCGGACGGGUGAGUAACACGUAGGAAUCUAUCUCUGGGUGGGGGACAACAGUGGGAAACUACUGCUAAUACCGCAUGAUACCUGAGGGUCAAAGGCGUAAGUCGCCUGGAGAGGAGCCUGCGUCUGAUUAGCUUGUUGGUGGGGUAAAGGCCUACCAAGGCUACGAUCAGUAGCUGGUCUGAGAGGAUGAUCAGCCACAUUGGGACUGAGACACGGCCCAAACUCCUACGGGAGGCAGCAGUGGGGAAUAUUGGACAAUGGGCGAAAGCCUGAUCCAGCAAUGCCGCGUGUGUGAAGAAGGUCUUCGGAUUGUAAAGCACUUUUGGCAGGGACGAUGAUGACGGUACCUGCAGAAUAAGCCCCGGCUAACUUCGUGCCAGCCG